This is a long non-coding RNA of Sciurus carolinensis (gray squirrel), 411 nucleotides long. RefSeq lists it as uncharacterized. The transcript has 3 exons. The record is from RefSeq and is a predicted model, not a curated record. NCBI's taxonomy places the organism in Eukaryota, Metazoa, Chordata, Mammalia, Rodentia, Sciuridae.
CGAUUGCCAGGUGAAGGCAACCCUGACUCCUGGAGUUUGGCGCCCUGAAGUUCAUGUGACAGCCAGUAGACCAGAUAAGCCAUGCUCCGCUGGGCAGCUCGGUUGGAUCACUGGAGAGCCUUCUUCCUGCUCAUGAGUCUCACUCCCCAGAUGGCUUGGCUCUCCGGGAUCCACCUACUUCAGGAGGUGAAGAGUUUGAAGAAUGAAAUCCAAAGGUGGACGGCAAGUUCAAGUCCCACCUCAACAUUUUGGAGAAGCCCUAAGCAACUAAGCCAGACCCUGUCUCAAAAUAUUUACGGAGGAGUUGGAGAUGUAGCACUGUGAUUUCUCUGUUGACUUCUGCAGUAAACCACCUUAAAGCGAAUGUUAAGUCAGCUGGGGACUUAAUUAGCCUGCCUACAACUGUAUAGG